Molecule: transfer RNA, 75 nt
Filed under: Pangasianodon hypophthalmus (striped catfish)
Lineage: Eukaryota; Metazoa; Chordata; Actinopteri; Siluriformes; Pangasiidae
Description: tRNA-Cys
Source: RNAcentral
GCACACAACCUGAGUGGUUUACACUGCAUUUGACUGCAGGUCAAACAGUCCCUGGUUCAAAUCCAGGUGCACGCU